Molecule: small RNA, 170 nt
Filed under: Paenibacillus alvei
Lineage: Bacteria; Bacillati; Bacillota; Bacilli; Caryophanales; Paenibacillaceae
Description: Magnesium sequence
Rfam family: M-box riboswitch aptamer (ykoK leader)
About the family: M-box riboswitch, also know as ykoK leader is described as a metaloregulatory RNA that sense divalent metals and function as a genetic control element of genes related to divalent metal transport in bacteria. It was first reported upstream of the B.subtilis ykoK gene and genes with related functions in other bacteria.
Source: RNAcentral
ACCAAGCUUUGUUAGGUGAGGCUCCUAUACGAACAGAGGCCACUGCCCAGAAAUAUCGAGAGAUGCCCAUGGGUAGAACAGGAAUUGUCGGAUUAAGGCUUUUCUUAAGGUGGCUAAGGGAUGUAACCUUUACGUUGUAUAGUGCUGAAGCUCGACGAGGAGGGCUAGAA